RNAcentral lists this long non-coding RNA (313 nucleotides) under Physcomitrium patens. RNAcentral's name for it is "long non-coding RNA (PPAT_LNC011059)". The record is from RNAcentral. Lineage: Eukaryota; Viridiplantae; Streptophyta; Bryopsida; Funariales; Funariaceae.
UGUUUGUAGUUUGUAUUUUUUUAAUAUUUCGGAGCAAAAAGGGACCGGACUCUUCGCAUUUAUGUGGUAUGCGCCGCAGUAACUACUGUGCGAGGAGAAAAGCAGUUUGUUGGUUUUCUAUUUGUAUCAGCAAGUGGAGGAAUAAGGUUGCAUUAUACUCUAGACCUGUUCUUUUGCCGAAUAUUUCUUUGCUGGUCCAUAUUCUCUCGGAUUUCCAAACAAGACUCGGUUGUUUCUGAAGAGAUUUUAGUAUAGAAUUUAAUGUCUGAACCAGCUCAUCUUGCCGUUUUCUAAUAAUAAAUGGACCUUGGAA